UGCCUACGGGGCGCAGCAGUGGGGAAUAUUGCACAAUGGGGGAAACCCUGAUGCAGCGACGCCGCGUGAGUGAAGAAGUAUUUCGGUAUGUAAAGCUCUAUCAGCAGGGAAGAAAAUGACGGUACCUGACUAAGAAGCCCCGGCUAACUACGUGCCAGCAGCCGCGGUAAUACGUAGGGGGCAAGCGUUAUCCGGAUUUACUGGGUGUAAAGGGAGCGUAGACGGUAGAGCAAGUCUGAAGUGAAAGCCCGGGGCCCAACCCCGGGACUGCUCUUGGAACUGCAUGGCUGGAGUACAGGAGGGGC
Molecule: ribosomal RNA, 305 nt
Filed under: uncultured bacterium
Lineage: Bacteria
Description: bacterial SSU rRNA
Rfam family: Bacterial small subunit ribosomal RNA
Source: RNAcentral